Phyllostomus hastatus (greater spear-nosed bat) is the source of this 1274-nucleotide long non-coding RNA. RefSeq lists it as uncharacterized. The transcript has 4 exons. NCBI's taxonomy places the organism in Eukaryota, Metazoa, Chordata, Mammalia, Chiroptera, Phyllostomidae. The record is from RefSeq and is a predicted model, not a curated record.
GGCAUGCGUGAGGCAGUCUGAGGCUUUCAGCGCAGUGGUAACUGAGCACAGUCGCACUUUGGAGAACAGGCGCGGAGAGCAGGAAAGCAGGCUGGCUGUCCAGGAAUCCUGGCGUAUGCGGUCACUACCCACACUCUGCCGUGCCGUAAGGAAGCCCGGACUGUUUUAUCAGAGGGAGAGGCCCCCAGGAGGCUCCAGGAAGAUGGGACACCUCGGGGACGCACAGACAAGCGCAGCGGUGUGACUGACUGCAGUCAGCACCAGGUGGACGAGAAGAAACAUCCCCGAAUCCACCAUACCAAAUGGUGGUUGUUUUCAGCCACUAAGUUUGGGGGCUGUUUGUUACACAGUGAUUGGUGACCGACAAGGGAGGCUCUGGUGUGUCUGUGAAUAGCAAGGAACAGGAGUAACAAGCCACACGUGCGGAAUGCCUGCUGGAUGCGGGCUUGUGAUGCCGGCCAAUCACAUCCUCUAAUCCGAUGCUCAUCGUAAACCUCUUCCCCGGUUUCCAGAGACGCAGAGAAUUCCAGCACCUGUCUAAGGACACACACGUUAAGCGACUUCCUACUUCCCUGCAGCAGGACACGGAGGUGCCAGCGCUUUCUGGGGUCUGGACGACAGGAAGGGCCCUCCCAAACAUAGUAGUAUGACUCAGCAUCUGGCGGCCAGCAGAGGCAGUGAAGGUCCCGGGUCCUCGGUUUACUGGUCUGCGAAGUGGUGUGAUAACAGACCCUCCCCCAGAAACAUGGUGAGGAUGCUCGGGGAGCGAGGUUGGCUCAGGCCCUCGCCAGGCGUGCACUUUCUCUUCCAGCUCGCUCUUCCUCAGCUCUGCCGCCGGCUCCCCGUGGGGACGCAGAUGGGUCACCGGGUCACCGACCCCGACCCCUGUGGUGUAACGUUCUCACCUGAAGUGCUCUGUAAACGGUGACUGUCCCUGACAGAGGGAUAAGAGAAGCGCAGCAAUGUCUUCGCACCUCCGGGCAAUGGAAGAGCGAGAGCCUCCCUGUUCCCCACUGGCCGUGGCCCCAGCACGGGUCACAGGCCUUCUCCGAAUCCCCAGGUUCCCUCUGCCUUAACCCCUGGGCACUCACUCAUCGUGUGUCACAGAUUGUGUGCUAAGGGCUGGGGCAUUAAAAAAGUGAAUGUUUCAGCCCCGGCGGGUGUGGCUCAGUGGACUGAGUGCCAACCUGUGAACCAAAUGGUCGCUGGUUUGAUUCUCAGUCAGAGCACAUGCCUGGGUUGCGGGCUGAGUCCCCAGGAGGGGGUGUGCAAGA